CCUACGGGAGGCAGCAGUGAGGAAUAUUGGUCAAUGGGCUUACGCCUGAACCAGCCAAGUCGCGUGCGGGAAGACGGCCCUAUGGGUUGUAAACCUCUUUUGUCAGGGAGCAACGCCGGCUACGUGUAGCCGGACUGAGAGUAGCUGAAGAAAAAGCAUCGGCUAACUCCGUGACAGCAGCCGCGGUAGUACGGAGGAUGCGAGCGUUAUCCGGAUUUAUUGGGUUUAAAGGGUGCGUAGGCGGAAUGCCAAGUCAGCGGUAAAAUCGCGGGGCUCAACCUCGCCCCGCCGUUGAAACUGGCGUUCUAGAGUGGGCGAGAAGUAUGCGGAAUGCGUGGUGAAGCGGUGAAAUGCAUAGAUAUCACGCAGAACUCCGAUUGCGAAGGCAGCAUACCGGCGCCCAACUGACGCUGAAGCACGAAAGCGUGGGUAUCGAACAGGAUUAGAUACCCUGGUAGUC
RNAcentral lists this ribosomal RNA (460 nucleotides) under uncultured bacterium. Its description in RNAcentral is "partial 16S ribosomal RNA". It matches the Rfam family "Bacterial small subunit ribosomal RNA", at positions 338 to 795 of the family's 1533-position model. The record is from RNAcentral.